GACGAACGCUGGCGGCGUGUCUAAUACAUGCAAGUCGAGCGAAUGGAUUAAGAGUUUGCUCUUAUGAAGUUAGCGGCGGACGGGUGAGUAACACGUGGGUAACCUGCCCAUAAGACUGGGAUAACUCCGGGAAACCGGGGCUAAUACCGGAUAACAUUUUGAACCGCAUGGUUCGAAAUUGAAAGGCGGCUUCGGCUGUCACUUAUGGAUGGACCCGCGUCGCAUUAGCUAGUUGGUGAGGUAACGGCUCACCAAGGCAACGAUGCGUAGCCGACCUGAGAGGGUGAUCGGCCACACUGGGACUGAGACACGGCCCAGACUCCUACGGGAGGCAGCAGUAGGGAAUCUUCCGCAAUGGACGAAAGUCUGACGGAGCAACGCCGCGUGAGUGAUGAAGGCUUUCGGGUCGUAAAACUCUGUUGUUAGGGAAGAACAAGUGCUAGUUGAAUAAGCUGGCACCUUGACGGUACCUAACCAGAAAGCCACGGCUAACUACGUGCCAGCCGCCGCGGUAA
This 515-nucleotide ribosomal RNA is filed under the name uncultured bacterium. RNAcentral describes it as "partial 16S ribosomal RNA". It matches the Rfam family "Bacterial small subunit ribosomal RNA", at positions 28 to 523 of the family's 1533-position model. The record is from RNAcentral.